Molecule: ribosomal RNA, 313 nt
Filed under: uncultured bacterium
Lineage: Bacteria
Description: bacterial SSU rRNA
Rfam family: Bacterial small subunit ribosomal RNA
Source: RNAcentral
GAUGAACGCUGGCGGCGUGCCUAACACAUGCAAGUCGAACGGACUCAUACUGAAACCUAGUGAUUUAUGAGUUAGUGGCGGACGGGUGAGUAACGCGUGGAUAACCUGCCGUAUACCGGGGGAUAACACUUAGAAAUAGGUGCUAAUACCGCAUGAGCGCACAGCUCCGCAUGGGGCGGUGUGAAAAACUCCGGUGGUAUACGAUGGAUCCGCGUCUGAUUAGCCAGUUGGCGGGGUAACGGCCCACCAAGGCGACGAUCAGUAGCCGGCCUGAGAGGGUGGACGGCCACAUUGGGACUGAGACACGGCCCAA